AAAGUGUGUGAGAUGUCAUAGCUAGAGUGUGAAGGUCAGAGGACAGCAUUUAGCUUUCAGGAGUCAGCUCUCUCGUGUGGGUUCUGGAUCUAGAAUCAGCAGGUCAGGCUUGAGAACGAGUGCCUUAACUUGUUGUGCCACAUCAGCAGCCCACAGUAGAGCACGCUAUCUACCUGUCUUCACUUCGGGAUCACGAUAUACCUUUGUCUAUUUGAAAGUCAACACUGUGUCGUCCCUCUAGAGAUCCCUGCUCCUUUCCUGUGUGCUUCGAGCUGGUAGUGCUGACGAGACAUUCCUAGUGAAGAUUUUCAGGGCCCAUUUCUGGAAAUGUCACAGAAGCCCAGACUGCCACCCGAAGAGUGUCCUUCAUCCUCGAUCUUGAAUAGCAUCACUGUUCCUGUAUCAUCGCUAAGACAUGUCGCCUACUAAAGAUAGAGAAAAGUUAGUAGUUGUGACACUCAGACACCUCCUCCAGAGAUUCAGUGAACACCAGGAUGUGUUGCCCUAAGGCUGCCGCCCAACUGUGCCUCUGUGUGGCUGUAAGAAGAUGUGCUUGCCCCGCCCACCUCCAUAAGAAAUUUAAUUUUUAAAAAAGAAAUCCUUUACGAAGAGGAAGAAGUUGAAGGUGGAAGCCCAGAUUUUUCGCUGAUUUGAGAGAGUGUGUCUCAGGCCAUGUCUUAAAGAAGAAGACUUCUCAUGGAGAACGCAAUACCAGAGACCCAGACCACUGUGGCCUUCAAGCUCACAGAGUCAGCGAGCAGAUCAAGCCCCCAACCUCUUCCCUUUAAGAUGGAAUUAUUAUAUCCUGAGUUGCAAAGGCUGGAGAGCAAAUCAAACAAAGGAAACAUCUCUGCCUCCUACAAGAAACUCCCAUCUGGACUAAGGCAUGCUACAGAGACCUGGCCCAGAAGCCUGUCCUGUGUGUGCUUAGAAGACUGGAAGUCAGAAAGCAAAGGAGGCCCCACACUGAAGAGGUCAAAUGCAGUAGGAACCAGGUUUCAAUGAGGAAAGGGGUACCCAGGAGCCCUUGGCGCAGCCUGGUGUAUCAGUAGCCAUUCUACUGGCCUGAACUUGACAGUGAACAGUGGCUUUGGGAUGGGGGCCACUCUUCCUGCAGCCUAAAUCUACACUAGCCCAAACUGCCUGUAACUCCACCUACCUCCACAGGAAACUUGACUUCUC
This is a long non-coding RNA of Myodes glareolus (Bank vole), 1182 nucleotides long. RefSeq lists it as uncharacterized. The record is from RefSeq and is a predicted model, not a curated record. Lineage: Eukaryota; Metazoa; Chordata; Mammalia; Rodentia; Cricetidae.